Molecule: transfer RNA, 75 nt
Filed under: Jeotgalibaca dankookensis
Lineage: Bacteria; Bacillati; Bacillota; Bacilli; Lactobacillales; Carnobacteriaceae
Description: tRNA-Arg
Rfam family: tRNA
About the family: Transfer RNA (tRNA) molecules are approximately 80 nucleotides in length.
Source: RNAcentral
UGGUUCCGUAGCUCAGUGGAUAGAGCACUCGUUUCCUAAACGAGGUGUCGGAGGUUCAAUCCCUCUCGGGACCGU